AGAGUUUGAUCCUGGCUCAGGACGAACGCUGGCGGCGUGGAUUAGGCAUGCAAGUCGAACGGUAUAUAUUCUUUCGGGGAUAUAGAGAGAGUGGCGAACGGGUGAGUAACGCGUAGGUAAUCUACCUUCAAGUGGGGGACAACCCAGGGAAACUUAGGCUAAUACCGCAUGUGGCAGCAAUGCUAAAGCCGGCCUCUGAAUAUGCUGGUGCUUGGAGAUGAGCCUGCGUCUGAUUAGCUAGUUGGUGGGGUAACGGCCUACCAAGGCGAUGAUAAGUAGGCGGCUUUAACGAGUGGUCGCCCACACUGGGAUUGAGAUACGGCCCAGACUCCUACGGGAGGCAGCAGUCGAGGAUAGUCUACAAUGGUCGAGAGAUUGAUAGUGCGACGCCGCGUGAACGAUGAAGCAUUUCGGUGUGUAAAGUUCUUUUCUAUGGGAGCAGGAUGCCAGAUGUUAACAGCAUGAGGCAUUUGAUAUUACCAUAGGAAUAAGCCACGGCUAACUCCGUGCCAGCAGCCGCGGUAAUACGGGGGUGGCAAGCGUUGUCCGGAAUUACUAGGCGUAAAGGGCAGGUAGGCGGAUUGGUAAGUUAAUCGUUAAAGGCCCAUGCUCACCAUGGGUAAGGCGGUUGAUACUGUCAGUCUGGAAGCGAGUGGGGGAAGACGGAAUUCCUGGUGUAGCGGUGGAAUGCGCAGAUAUCAGGAGGAACACCGAAGGCGAAGGCAGUCUUCUACGCUUGUCUUGACGCUAAACUGCGAAGGUGCGGGUAUCAAACAGGAUUAGAUACCCUGGUAGUCCGCACAGUAAACGAUAAUCACUAGGUGUCGGUAGGAUAGACCUGUCGGUGCCGCAGCUAACGCGUUAAGUGAUUCGCCUGGGGAGUACGAUCGCAAGGUUGAAACUCAAAGGAAUUGACGGGGGCCCGCACAAGCGGUGGAGCAUGUGGUUUAAUUCGAUGCAACGCGAAGAACCUUACCUGGGCUUGACAUCUGCCAAAUUCUUCAGAGAUGAGGGAGUGCCCUUCGGGGAAUGGCAAGACAGGUGCUGCAUGGCUGUCGUCAGCUCGUGUCGUGAGAUGUUGGGUUAAGUCCCGCAACGAGCGCAACCCCUUUCUCCAGUUGCCAUCAUUAAGUUGGGGACUCUGGAGAGACCGCUGCAGUAACAAUGCAGAGGAAGGUGGGGACGACGUCAAGUCAUCAUGGUCCUUAUGUCCAGGGCUACACACGUGCUACAAUGGUAGUUACAGAGGGGAGCGAAGCUGCAAGGUGGAGCGAAUCUCAGAAAAGCUGCCACAGUUCGGAUUGAGGUCUGCAACUCGGCCUCAUGAAGCUGGAAUCGCUAGUAAUCGCGUAACAGCAUGACGCGGUGAAUACGUUCCCGGGCCUUGUACACACCGCCCGUCAAGUCAGCCGAGUGGAGUGCACCCGAAGUAGGUGGGCGAACCCUUAGGGGUAGCAGCUUUCGAAGGUGUGCUUCGCGAGGAGGACUAAGUCGAAACAAGGUA
RNAcentral lists this ribosomal RNA (1504 nucleotides) under metagenome. Its description in RNAcentral is "bacterial SSU rRNA". It matches the Rfam family "Bacterial small subunit ribosomal RNA". The record is from RNAcentral.